GCAAGAGAGAAACGGGUCCACAGAGAACCCCCUCUCUUCGGCGUUUCGGGGAGGAAACGCCCGCCUAGAUCGAAUGAUCGAGAAAUAGCCAGACCCGCUGCGUUUAUCCCCCGCAGCGGGUCUUGGUGUAUCUGGG
Molecule: small RNA, 136 nt
Filed under: Caulobacter radicis
Lineage: Bacteria; Pseudomonadati; Pseudomonadota; Alphaproteobacteria; Caulobacterales; Caulobacteraceae
Description: Caulobacter sRNA CrfA
Rfam family: Caulobacter sRNA CrfA
Source: Rfam by way of RNAcentral